UGAGGAAUAUUGGUCAAUGGGCGAGAGCCUGAACCAGCCAAGUAGCGUGCAGGAUGACGGCCCUAUGGGUUGUAAACUGCUUUUAUGUGGGGAUAAAGUGCGUGACGUGUCAUGCAUUGCAGGUACCACAUGAAUAAGGACCGGCUUAUUCCGUUCCAGCAGCCGCGGUAAUACGGAAGGUCCGGGCGUUAUCCGGAUUUAUUGGGUUUAAAGGGAGCGUAGGCUGUCUAUUAAGCGUGUUGUGAAAUUUACCGGCUCAACCGGUGGCUUGCGGCGCGAACUGGUCGACUUGAGUAUGCAGGAAGUAGGCGGAAUUCAUGGUGUAGCGGUGAAAUGCUUAGAUAUCAUGACGAACUCCGAUUGCGCAGGCAGCUUACUGUAGCAUAACUGACGCUGAUGCUCGAAAGUGCGGGUAUCAAACAGG
Molecule: ribosomal RNA, 424 nt
Filed under: Fusobacteriota bacterium
Lineage: Bacteria; Fusobacteriati; Fusobacteriota
Description: Fusobacteria bacterium partial 16S ribosomal RNA
Rfam family: Bacterial small subunit ribosomal RNA
Source: RNAcentral